Procambarus clarkii (red swamp crayfish) is the source of this 293-nucleotide long non-coding RNA. RefSeq lists it as uncharacterized. Lineage: Eukaryota; Metazoa; Arthropoda; Malacostraca; Decapoda; Cambaridae. The record is from RefSeq and is a predicted model, not a curated record.
UCAGCCGCAAGUUUUGCAGCCCGCUGACCCCAGCUAUGGCGCAGGUGCCUACUAGUGCCACUCCAGUGCCACCUUGAGGACCCAUAUUUCUGACCAAUUAUAUUAGGCGAUCUGCAUGGAACUUGCACACCUUACUGAACCCAUGCCUAUCUACAAGGGUGCAAAUUUUGAAUGAUAUUGGUCAACAUCAACCUCAGCUAAAGGUGGCUGAACUUUAACCUCCGUUUGUGCAGGCUGCGAUGCUGAAACUUGGCCCAGUUGCAGCACCUUUCACAUGUAUCAGGAUAAUAAAU